CGUACGAAACGGCAAAGCUAUUGAAAAAUGGUGACGCAAAACUAAAGGGGCUAAUGUUUUUUUAACGAUGCCAGCCAGUUACCGAA
Molecule: non-coding RNA, 86 nt
Filed under: Bacillus sp. OK048
Lineage: Bacteria; Bacillati; Bacillota; Bacilli; Caryophanales; Bacillaceae
Description: c-di-GMP-I riboswitch aptamer
Rfam family: c-di-GMP-I riboswitch aptamer
About the family: GEMM was predicted in a large-scale screen for bacterial structured RNA regulatory elements. Genes associated with GEMM are involved in a diverse array of functions, including chemotaxis regulation, signal transduction, secretion and chitin.
Source: Rfam by way of RNAcentral